GUGCAUGCAAUAUGAAGCAAAGCACAGUUACUUUAAAAGAUUGGCUUCAUACUUUGGAAACUUCACUAAUGUUGCACUUAGCCUUGCUGAACGACAUCAAACCAGAAGUUGCUAUCUAAGAAAUCAACCCAUUGCAAAAAAGCCUAAAAUUGAUUCUGCAAAAGAAAUUGUUGCUAAGGAUAGUGAACAUUAUUAUUUGCUCAAAGAGAGGAACUAAACUUAAGUGACAUUAGUAUUUUGUCAAGGUCUGGUCACACUCUAAAGGUGUUUCUGCAAUAGGAUUCUUUCCGAAAUCUGCUCAUCUUCUUCUGUCGUGUAGCAUGGAUUGUAAAAUUAAGAAACUGCAAGAUGAUAUUCAUCUAAGCGCGACGGCUCUGUUUUUGUAAAAUCUAACAUAAGACGAGGAAAUUUACCCAGAAUGUUGGAGGUGAUAUUAGACACACGUAUUAUGGUAAAGAAAGCUAUGAAAGAUUGUAAAGAUGGUAAAAAAAUAAAGAUGAUAUCAAGUUCAACAAAAGUGGUUCUUGGGACUCUCCUAAUCCUGUCUAUUAGUGGCCAUAUAGUAAAUGGUAAUGACGACAUAUCAAUCUGCAAGAAAAGGUUAGAAACACUAAAAGACGACGUGAAAGAAUGGAUAGAAACUUGCGUUGAUAAAAUGGCAAUGACGAUAACACAACUGCAUGCAAGGAAGUAAAACAAUACAACAAAGAAAUGAUGCAAAUGCAAACGGAAAUGUGUUUUUACAAAGGUGUUUAUCCAAAGCCAUAUUUCAUUAUUUUGAGCUUUGAUCAAAUAUACUCUGUUGAUUCUAUUACUGGAGAUAUUCAUGUCAGCACUAUUAAUGGCUCCAGUAAGAAUAAAUUUGACCAUGCAUCAAAAUAUAAUGACAUUGAAGUUGAUGUAGUUGAGAAUGUGCUUUACUACACUGAUGACAAAGACAUCAAACGGGGAAAUCUUGACUUGACUGGAAACGAAAUUGUUGCGGAAAAUGUUUCUGUUCAUGAUAUUACAGUUGACUGGAUUGGUCGUCGUAUCUUUUACAUUGACUCCACGAACAUUAUCUACCAAAUUUUUUUGGAAAAGAAAAUUACAAGUGUUAUGAGGCUUCAACCAGGCUUGCGAUUUUCUAGCAUCGCAUUUGACUCAAAACAGGGGUAUCUAUUCUUGGCAGAAAGUACAGAACUUUUCUUAUGGUUAUGGAGCAUGAAUGCAAAUAAACAUCAUAUCUUCUCAGUUUCACUUCAAUCAAUAGCACAUGAUCUAACGCUUGACAUGGCUAAAGAGAAGAUUUAUUGGCGAGUUUCAAACGGAAAUGUUUUUUUCUUGUGAUUACUACUCCCAUAAUGUAAUUGAUUUUGGAACUUCAGGAGGUCCCAUGGCAGUAUUUAAAGAUUUCAUUUAUAUCAUAACUAGUGUCGGACGAAGUGUCGUUAGUGUCCAUAACACAACAGAUCAACGUAUGAGGCGUAAAUAUGUUCUUCCUGUAAACAACGGUUAUCUUGAUUUGGCUGUAGCUAUACACAGUAUCACUCCUGACUCAAACGAUAUCGACAAUACAUCACAAAUUUCCUAGCUGGCGACAAACACUUUUCGACUUCCUUUAUGUGGACCCAACACUUACUAUCGUAAAAUUAAUGGAUCAUUAAACUGCACGUGUAUGAAAGGAUACUCAGGAGAAUGUAACUCGUGCCAGGUUAUCAACUCUGUUAGACUUCGGGGACCAGAACGUUCUAUUGGCAAAGGUCGUGUAGAGGUAUUUUACAAUG
Long non-coding RNA from Xenia sp. Carnegie-2017, 1766 nucleotides. RefSeq lists it as uncharacterized. NCBI's taxonomy places the organism in Eukaryota, Metazoa, Cnidaria, Anthozoa, Malacalcyonacea, Xeniidae. The transcript is spliced from 11 exons. The record is from RefSeq and is a predicted model, not a curated record.